AAUUUUUCUUUGAAUUAUAACAUUUGAAUGCUUUAGAGUUGGAGUCAUAACUGACUAGUAUGCUUUCGGUUGUCUUUGAAUUAUAGUGUCUGAUAUUCAAAUAGAUCCAAGUUUUUAUUAAAUUAACCCACCUAUCAUAACCAUCAUAAAAAGAAAAAAUGAUCUCAAGAUUCAUUUCUCUGUUGGAUCUACAACCAAUAAAAACCAACCACACUCAUCUUGAUUACCAUAUUCUUUAUCAUUCAUCAAGGGAGUCUAUUUAGUAAAAGAAUGGGUCUAAUUAACAUCUCCCUCUACACAUAGUUUGUGGGGUGUUAGAGGCGCAGUCGAUGUCAAGGUAAUGGAGAGGUCUGAGUUAUGAAGAUUGCCGUCGGUGCUGAGACUGCGCUGGAUUCCCACCAGCUUCAUAUCACGGUUGAGCUUGCAUUUCACUGGAAAGCAUAGCUGAUACGUCAGAAGAUAUGCGAUGCAGCGCCUGCCAAUGCUUCUGAAUUUUACAAGUA
RNAcentral lists this long non-coding RNA (503 nucleotides) under Physcomitrium patens. RNAcentral's name for it is "long non-coding RNA (PPAT_LNC006441)". The record is from RNAcentral. Lineage: Eukaryota; Viridiplantae; Streptophyta; Bryopsida; Funariales; Funariaceae.